RNAcentral lists this ribosomal RNA (483 nucleotides) under uncultured bacterium. RNAcentral describes it as "bacterial SSU rRNA". It matches the Rfam family "Bacterial small subunit ribosomal RNA", at positions 28 to 523 of the family's 1533-position model. The record is from RNAcentral.
GACGAACGCUGGCGGCGUGCUUAACACAUGCAAGUCGAACGGUGAACCAGAGCUUGCUCUGGGGAUCAGUGGCGAACGGGUGAGUAACACGUGGGCAACCUGCCCCAGACUCUGGGAUAACCUCGGGAAACCGAUGCUAAUACCGGAUACGACCACUUCGGACAUCCGACGGUGGUGGAAAGUUUUUCGGUCUGGGAUGGGCCCGCGGCCUAUCAGCUAGUUGGUGGGGUAAUGGCCUACCAAGGCGACGACGGGUAGCCGGCCUGAGAGGGCGACCGGCCACACUGGAACUGAGACACGGUCCAGACUCCUACGGGAGGCAGCAGUGAGGAAUAUUGCACAAUGGGCGAAAGCCUGAUGCAGCGACGCCGCGUGAGGGACGACGGCCUUCGGUUGUAACCGUACUUUCUAGCAGGACGAAGCGAAGUAGACUGUACCUGCAGAAGAAGCACCGGCUAACUAACGUGCCAGCAGCCGCGGUAA